CCUUAAGGGAGAGACAGUCGCCCUGGUGCAUCGCCAAAAUUGCACGGCGCAGCCCGGCACAGCUGGAGGCAUUGCAAAAAGGAUCGGCUCUUUCACAGGGCUCCGGCACAGGCGACUUGCACGUGGAUUAAGCUGCACGAGCUUCCAUCCUGAGUUUGAAGUGGAAGAGGAAGCUCAAAGCAGUUGUUGCGCUUCGCUGAGAUGCAACGGGCAACUCUCCCAAUGAUCAUAUGGAGAAUUCACACGUAGGCCAAGAAAGUGAAGAACCAGGGGCCGUUUCCGUUGUGCUGCAUAGCAAAUGAGAUCUUCCCCUCACCCCAGCACCCAGACACACUAGUGCUAACACCGUGAUGUUAGGCCUGGAGAUCUGGCUUUUAACCAAAUGGCUGAAGAAGGAACAUCUGAAGAAGUGGGCUGUGCCCACGAAAGCUCAUGGUGCCAUCUACAUCAAGCCUGCACAAGAUACAGCCCGCGGGGGCUCACUGUGCGGCCCGUGACUACUUUCGGACUUGGCGAUGGCUGAAGUUUGCAGGGUACCCGAUGAGGCUGCCGCCGCCCUCCACACACGCCCAGCCCAGCCUGGACGUGAAGCAACCGAGCGUCUGCAGAGCGGCAGCCAGCGGGGAGAGGCGACCGGGCCGGGGCUGGCAUGGAGGCAGCCGCCGCCGGUGUCCUAGGGGGCGUUGCAGUGGGCAACUCGGCCGGGAGGCAGACGAGCACUGAGCCCGCUGCUUGUGAGCCGAGCCCGUGGGAGGAGCGGGCGUGCCCCGCACCUACUCCCCCGAUGGUGAACGCCAGCGAGCUCAGAAGCAGGGGCGGGCAGCUGCGCUCCAUGGUCUGAGCCGCCUGCCGCCGUCCCCGCUCGGACUGCCGCCGUGCCGCUUGUUGCUCUUGAAUUCAUCCCCCUCCCCCAUCUAUCUCCUUCCCUCCGGCCUCUUGUCUAAACAGCGCCAGGAGAGCUCCGGAGACUCUCCUCCUGCUCCGUGCGGAGCUUGGACCCUGCGAAGUAUAACAAAGUUCAAAUUUAUCAAAUU
This is a non-coding RNA of Pelodiscus sinensis (Chinese soft-shelled turtle), 1034 nucleotides long. The record is from RefSeq and is a predicted model, not a curated record. Lineage: Eukaryota; Metazoa; Chordata; Testudines; Trionychidae.